AAAGAAGGAGAGAUCAUGAAAGGCAACCAUGUGAAGAAGAACAAGCCUGCAGCUCAUUUUCUGCCCAAACCACUAAAAGUGGCCAUGUACAAGGAGCCAUCACUGCACGACCUCACGGAGUUCUCCCGAUCUGGAAGCGGGACCCCAACCAAGAGCAGAAGUGUCUCUGGCGUGCUGAACGGAGGCAAAUCCAUGAGCCACAAUGAAUCCAGUGAGGGCAAAAGAAGGGCUCUGUAACAGAACCUUACCUCCAGGUGCUGUUGAAUUCUUCUAGCAGUCCUUCGCCCAAAAGUUCAAAUUUGUCAGUGACAUUUACCAAACAAACAAGCAGAGUUCACUAUUCUAUCUGCCAUUAGACCUUCUUAUCAUCCAUACUAAAGCCCCAUUAUUUAGAUUGAGCUUGUGCAAAAGAAUGCCAAGCAUUUCAGUGAACUAAAUCUGGGAGAAGGACUGCCAAAUUUUCUCAUGAUCUCACCUGUACUUUGGGGAUGAUAAUCCAAAAAGAUUUUACAGCACUAAUGCUGAUCAAAAUUUGCUCUCCCACCAAGAAAAUUUCAAAGACCACAAUUGUUCUUCAAAAACAAACAAAACAUAACAAAAUUAACUGCUUAAAUGUUUUGUCGGGGCAAACAAAAUUAUGUGAAUUGUGUUGUUUUCUUGGCUUGAUGUUUUCUAUCUACACUCGAUUCACAUGUACUCUUUUCUUUGGCAUAGUGCAACUUUAUGAUUUCUGAAAUUCAAUGGUUCUAUUGACUUUUUGCGUCACUUAAUCCAAAUCAACCAAAUUCAGGGUUGAAUCUGAAUUGCCUUCUCAGGCUCAAGGUAACAGUGUUCUUGUGAUUUUACCAAUUUUUUUUUUUUUUUUUUUUUUAGAUUUGUAGUAUUCUGGUCAAGUUAUCGUGCUGUACUUUGUGUGUAGAAAUUGAGUUGUAUUGUCAACCCCAGUCAGUAAAGAUAUCUUCAAAAAAUUAUCCUCAAGUGUAGAUUUCUCUUAAUUCCAUUUGUGUAUCAUGUUAAACUAUUGUUGUGGCUUCUUGUGUAAAGACGGGAACUGUGGAACUGUGAUGUUGUCUUUUGUGUUGUUAAAACAAGAAGUGUCUUACCUAUAUAUGUAUGAGUCCUCCUGUCAUUGUAUUUGGCAUAUGAAUAUUGUGUGCAAGGAAUUGUUAAGACUGGUUUUCCCUCAACAACAUAUAUUAUACUUGCUACUGGAAAAGUGUUUAAGACUUAGCUAGGUUUCCAUUUAGAUCUUCAUAUCUGUUGCAUGGAAGAAAGUUGGGUUCUUGGCAUAGAGUUGCAUGAUAUGUAAGUUUUGUGCAUUAAUAGUUGUUAAAAAUCUGUGUUCCAAAAGUGGACAUAGCAUGUACAGGCAGUUUUCUGUCCUGUGCACAAAAAGUUUAAAAAAGUUGUGUAAUAUUUGUUGUUGUAUACCCAAAUACGCACCAAAUAAACUCUUUAUAUUCAUUCAAAAAAAAA
Molecule: long non-coding RNA, 1476 nt
Filed under: Macaca fascicularis (crab-eating macaque)
Lineage: Eukaryota; Metazoa; Chordata; Mammalia; Primates; Cercopithecidae
Description: lncRNA (ENSMFAG00000047169.1)
Source: RNAcentral